This 2230-nucleotide long non-coding RNA is filed under the name Nicotiana benthamiana. RNAcentral's name for it is "long non-coding RNA (NBEN_LNC030383)". The record is from RNAcentral. Lineage: Eukaryota; Viridiplantae; Streptophyta; Magnoliopsida; Solanales; Solanaceae.
AAUGACAUAGCUAGAAGCACACAAAAUUAUAAUCAGAAGAAAAAGUUUACAACAGAGGCCAAAAACACAAAUAGUGAAACUGCAAAAACUAACACAUAUCAUUAAAAUUCGAUCGCUCAAAAACAUCGCAGAACUCUCACAUAUACAAUAGAUCCCAGAAACAAAGAACAAAUGAAAGAGUCUAGAAAUCAAGUAAAAACUAAUGGCCAGAGUGAAGAGGAAAAUGAGGAGAAAAGCUGGAAUAAAGCAAUAAUCGAGCAGAAAGACUUAAGAACAAACUCAAAUUUCAACUCAAAAAGGACUUAUUAAGAGCCACAAGUUUUUCUUGAAAAUAAUCACUUAUUAAAUCAUUUACAAAAUAAAUCAUAUACAUUACCAGAGACAACAAAAUGUUUGACCUAUGUGUAAUCAUUCUCUUUUGGAAUCUCUCUCACAUAAACGUUACAUAUUACAUAAGUUUGUCUUUCACACAAAUACUACAGAUGACAAGCAUAUGUGACAUUAGAUAUGUGUCACAGCAUCCAUCCUCAGAAUUAUGAUCACUUAGGAGUUUAGCAACUAAAAUUCAAUUUCCACUACACCCUUCCCUUUUCUUCAUCUAAGUAUCUGGCAAUUCCUAAACCUGGAUUCCGUAGGAUAUGGGUCUAUCCUGUUUCCUAGUAUUAGUUGGAAAAGUGUCGUCCAUAGGUAUUCUUUUAGAUAAUGGACUUGAGUUACUUCUUAAGUAAGAAAGUAGCAAAUGAAACCUGCCAUGAAUCCAAGAAAAAGUAAAAGUUGUUACAUGUGAUUUUCCAGCUUUUAAAACUUUACUUGCCAAGUUCCUAAUCCAUAAUUUUCCAAAUAUAUGGCUACAAACCAGAAAUUUUUGUCAUUACCUUUAUAGAAAGGCUUACAUCAAUUAAAAUUUGUGAAAACAACUACUACGAUUCAUUAUUUGUUGUCAAAUUCACCAUGAAUAUUAUGUACAUUAUGAUUCUAAAUGUGAUAAAAUCCGCCAAACCGAGGGCAGACAAAAUUUUAUACAUAUAUUUGUGCUAAAGUAACUCUAGUAUUAAAUUCAAUAUGGAAAAAAAAAUCGACAUUCUAAUUUAGGUUGAGGGCAAGCCAAGAGAGGUUGGAAGAGUAGUAACUAAUGAGUUCGUGAACAAUGAUCCUAUGCUUUUUGCUUGAUUCCUAUAACAAAAUAUCGCUGAAGAAGUUGAAAUUUUCUAACUAAUAAGAGGGUUCUUUCAACUAUUUAAUUAUACAUGAUAGCAAAUAUGCGAAAAAGUAAAUUUCAAGAACAACAAAAUAAAUUAUCUACUGGUACUACUUCUGGUUAUUUGAAAUUUUCAAAAAUGUUAUCACGCUCCUACAUAUCUUUCACAAAUAUACUACUAUUGAAGGACCCAGCAGAAUUUUGAAGAUCUUGAACAGCAUAGGUUAAGAUACACUUGAUAGCUUCUUUACCUUUAAUUUCUCACAAUUGUUCGUUUAGGCAACAAAAAAAAAUUAUUCGCACUUGAUGUUCUAUGUUCCUACGCAGUGUAACACAAAAAUCAAUUUUUGUCCAAAAACAAAAUUGUUUUCUUGAUUUCAGUUCUUCUUCGCCAAAAUAAAAAUUAAACUACAAAUAUUUUUAUAAAUAAAAAAUUCUUAAAUUAAGACUUGUUGAGUAUCAGCAUCCCAUUUAGCACCUACAGGACUCGCAACCUUCAAUUUAGCAUACAUCAGCCAUGAAAUUGCAUUAAAAACACAAUUUUAUCACUCGAUUUAACACACAUUUGCCAUAAGAUUGCAAGUUUAAAAUCAUAUAGAUAGCUCAAAAAGAAUAGGGCAGAAAUUAAAAGAAAAGAAAAAGGAUCUGGAGAAAAUCAGAAAAGAACCUACAGCAAACACUGAACUUCAGAAUCAAAAUUAACAAUGAUAAAGAGUACAUAGAAGAAACCCAAAAUGAAAAAAGAAGGAAGGAAAAAGUAGAAAAAAGAUAUUGCAAAAUUGAUUGAACAAAUAUCUACAGAUGCUUUAGAAAUCUUACUAGAGAGAGACUUCAGAACAGCUUCGAUAAGAAAGAGGCGUGGAGAUGAGAGAAGAAAGGUCUGGGAUCUGAUAUAAGAAAACUGACACGUAUGUAGGUCAUGUGAAAUGACCUCAAACUUUGUUGAAAUAAUCCUAAACACAUAUGUCCAAACUCUUUCUCUUCUAAAGAAGAGAAAAACGAUAUAAAAUGAAUACAUACAUGACGUCUAGG